CUUUUUGAUUUUAAUUUAAAGUUUAACCUGCCCAUUGAAAAUUUUUAAAAGGCUGCGGUAUUUUGACUGUACAAAGGUAGCAUAAUCAUUAGUUUUUUAAUUGAAAACUUGUAUGAAUGGUUGGAUGAGAAAUUAACUUUUUUAAAAAAAUAAUUGAAUUUUACUUUUUAAUUAAAAGGUUAAAAUAAAUUUAAAAGACGAGAAGACCCUAUAGAGUUUUAUAAUUUAUAUUUAAUAUUUAAAAAGAUUAAUUAAAAUUUUAUAAAAGAAAAUAUUUUGUUGGGGUGAUAAUAAAAUUUAAAUAACUUUUAUUUUUUUUUACAUUAAUAUAUGAAUUUAUGAUCCAUUAUUGAUGAUUAAAAAUUUAAAUUACCUUAGGGAUAACAGCGUAAUUUUUUUUUAAAGUUCAUAUUAAUAAAAAAUUUUGCGACCUCGAUGUUGGAUUAAGAUUUAAUUUUAGGUGCAGCAGUUUAAAUUUUAAGUCUGUUCCACUUUUAAAUUCUU
Molecule: ribosomal RNA, 504 nt
Filed under: Pseudolycoriella wernermohrigi
Lineage: Eukaryota; Metazoa; Arthropoda; Insecta; Diptera; Sciaridae
Description: partial 16S ribosomal RNA
Source: RNAcentral